GCUCCCCCACACCCCUGCCGCCGCCGCCGCCUUGCUUCCGCCCCGCCGCCCCAUGCCGCUGCCUCGUUUCCCUCCGUCCGCCGCCCGCAGAGGAACGUGAAGAUUCAGUUUUUUUGGAGAAGACCGCCCAACGCCCAACGCCCGCUCUCCUUCCGCAUGUGCCCGUCGUCGACCACCUCCUCGCCGUCGACCACGAAGCUAGCACCCUCCAUGGAGGUUUUCGACCUGAGCAGUGGGAAGCACGUGUGCCCCUUUUCCACUUCCAAGCUGGAGCACUACGCGGCUUCACCGACAUCGAUUACAUCUCGCCGGAGCAUUACGCGGCUGCACCAAGGAGUCCGCCAGAGUCAAAGGUCUCAUUUUCCCCCUUCUCCUCCCUUCAGUCUCUUGCAAUUUAUUUUUCAUCUUCUUCGAUUGGUCUACCGGAAAUGGAACAGAGCUAAACAGAGCAAGCUAGAGUUGCAUGGUGGCGUUCGUGGUGAGGGACAAGCCAUCAGGUUGAGAGUAUCUCUAUUCUCUAGGAGAGCCUGCACCAUGUUAAACCUCCACUUGCAGAGUUGUUGUUUUCAAUUAACUGAAAUUACACCAAAGAAUUUCAGUUAAAAGAUGUCCUCUUGCACUGAACCUGAACUAAAACUGAUCGAUAUUUUAGCAUUUUCUGUUUCAGGAUUGGCUAAAAUAGUGCUGAGAUGGAUGGAAGAACCCUUAAGUUUGUUGUUCCUCUUUUAAAAAAUAAAAGUUCGUUGUUCCUGCAUUGAACGGUUAAGCAGGGUCAUGUUGUGAUAAAUCCCUUUGUCAAUUUCAGGUGUCCAUCAAGUAUGGAUGGGGUGGAGUAUGAGAAUUUUGCUUUGUGUCAAUAUCAGUUGUCGAUCAAGUAUGGAUGGGGUGGAGCAUGACAGUAAAUUUCAGCACAAGCAUGGCCAUCCACCAACACGCAAAACAAGUUCAAGACCAAAAAUAUGUGUUUCUUGCUGUUUACUCAACUGAACCAGAUUUGGGUUUUCAAGUUCCAAGGUUUCUGCUAACAGCAUACAGAUUAAAUUGAAAAACUGGAUUCAUCUAAAUCAUGGACAGUUCAAAACCAAUUAUUUCCAAACCAAUUAUUUCUAGCUUGCUCCCUCCACCCCCCCCCCCUGAUAUCUACUGUUUUUUAUUCAAUUAACACUAAUCAUAUUCAGUUAACAGGAGCAGAGCAGUUCUUCUUGACGAACAGGAGUAGAGCAGCAACUCCCGUACACUGAUCAUAUUCAGCACAGGGACCAGAGGAGCAACUCCUUGCGGUACCUUCUUCUUCUUGACGAGCAGGAGCUCUGGUGGCAGCACGGGCAGACGAGCAGCAGCAGCACCGGCGGUAGGGGAGAAGCAGCCGCACGGGCUCGCGCGGAAGAUUGAGGAGGGCGCGCGGGCAGGGGAGAAGGAGGACGCGCGCGAGCUCCUGGUCCACCGGAUCGUGGAGGCAAUUUCCGGCGACGCCUGUAGGGGAUCGCGACCGGGAUGAAUUGCGGCGGCGCACGCGUGGGAGCUCGAGGAGGAUGCACUGGAGCUUGAGGAGGAUGUGCUGGAGCUUGAGGAGGAUGCACUGGACCUCGAGGAGGACGCCCGCGAGCUCGAGGAGGACGUGGCCGGAGGUCCCGACGAUGCCCGCAGGUAAUCGAGGCGGGAGGGGAUCGCGGCGACGCAGGUCUGAGCGGGGAAGGCGGCGGAGCAGGUACUUGGCGGCGGCGGCGGCGGAGCAGGUAGGUGGCGACGGCGGAGGAGCACUUCCUGAUGGGCGGCGAGUCGCGCAGCUGGGCGGCGCCGGCCCCUAUCGACGACGGAGGAAGAAAACAGGGGGCGGAGGGGCUUGUUUCAGACGAUUUUAAAACUACAAGGGCUUUUUUGCAAAAUCAACAUUGAACUGCGCCCGCGACAUGUUUUUCGGGACGGAGGGAGUAUGUUGCUGCGCUUUUGGUGGCUCCGAUAACUGUCCGUCGUCCUCUCCAUGGACCAUGGCUCCAUGUGCUGCGCUGCACGUACUGCUGCAGCACUUGUUUAUGAUUGUUGCCAUGCUUUCCUGUUGCUGUUGUCAUCGUCAAGAAGAGUUCAUUGGAGAUGCUACUAGUACAAUUCCAGAACCAGAAGAGAUCUUUCCUCCCCAUUGUGAUUAGAAUAGUAGUACGAUUGUCCUCCGACAUUACAGUUGUAGGAGAAUGAUGGCGUUGCCCGUGGAACUGAUUUGGCCGAGGUGGUUCGCAUGAUGGAAACCUGGCCACAGGAACUUCUCCACAGAUUUUAUAUUUCCCAAGUCACUUUUGCAUA
This is a long non-coding RNA of Triticum aestivum (bread wheat), 2298 nucleotides long. RefSeq lists it as uncharacterized. The transcript has 2 exons. NCBI's taxonomy places the organism in Eukaryota, Viridiplantae, Streptophyta, Magnoliopsida, Poales, Poaceae. The record is from RefSeq and is a predicted model, not a curated record.